RNAcentral lists this ribosomal RNA (1401 nucleotides) under uncultured bacterium. RNAcentral's name for it is "bacterial SSU rRNA". It matches the Rfam family "Bacterial small subunit ribosomal RNA". The record is from RNAcentral.
AGUUUGAUUAUGGCUCAAGAUGAACGCUAGCUACAGGCUUAACACAUGCAAGUCGAGGGGAAACGAUGAGAGAGCUUGCUCUUUCAGGCGUCGACCGGCGCACGGGUGAGUAACGCGUAUCCAACCUGCCCAUUACAGGGGAAUAACCUUGCGAAAGUAAGACUAAUGCCCCAUGGUAUUCUCAGCAGACAUCUAAUGAGGAUUAAAGAUUUAUCGGUAAUGGAUGGGGAUGCGUCUGAUUAGCUUGUUGGCGGGGUAACGGCCCACCAAGGCAACGAUCAGUAGGGGUUCUGAGAGGAAGGUCCCCCACAUUGGAACUGAGACACGGUCCAAACUCCUACGGGAGGCAGCAGUGAGGAAUAUUGGUCAAUGGGCGAGAGCCUGAACCAGCCAAGUAGCGUGCAGGAAGACGGCCCUAUGGGUUGUAAACUGCUUUUAUAGGGGAAUAAAGUGAUCUACGUGUAGUUUAUUGUAUGUACCCUAUGAAUAAGGACCGGCUAAUUCCGUGCCAGCAGCCGCGGUAAUACGGAAGGUUCGGGCGUUAUCCGGAUUUAUUGGGUUUAAAGGGAGCGUAGGCCGUAGAUUAAGCGUGUUGUGAAAUGUAGAUGCUCAACAUCUGACUUGCAGCGCGAACUGGUUUACUUGAGUGUGCACAACGUAGGCGGAAUUCGUCGUGUAGCGGUGAAAUGCUUAGAUAUGACGAAGAACUCCGAUUGCGAAGGCAGCUUACGGGAGCACAACUGACGCUGAAGCUCGAAGGUGCGGGUAUCAAACAGGAUUAGAUACCCUGGUAGUCCGCACAGUAAACGCUGGAUGCCCGCUGUUGGUUCAUUAGAGUCAGCGGCCAAGCGAAAGCAUUAAGCAUCCCACCUGGGGAGUACGCCGGCAACGGUGAAACUCAAAGGAAUUGACGGGGGCCCGCACAAGCGGAGGAACAUGUGGUUUAAUUCGAUGAUACGCGAGGAACCUUACCCGGGCUUGAAUUGCAGACGAACGCGGCAGAGAUGCCAAGGCCCUUCGGGGCGUCUGUGAAGGUGCUGCAUGGUUGUCGUCAGCUCGUGCCGUGAGGUGUCGGCUUAAGUGCCAUAACGAGCGCAACCCCUUUUCUUAGUUGCCAUCAGGUAAUGCUGGGCACUCUGGGAAUACUGCCACCGUAAGGUGUGAGGAAGGUGGGGAUGACGUCAAAUCAGCACGGCCCUUACGUCCGGGGCUACACACGUGUUACAAAUGGCCGGUACAGAGGGCAGGUUGCAUGUAAAUGCGAAUCGAAUCUUAAAAGCCGGUCCCAGUUCGGACUGAGUUCUGCAACCGGACCUCAGAUAGCUGGAUUUCGGCUAGUAAUCGGGCAUUCAGGCCAUGGCGGCGGUGAAUACUUUCCCGGGCCCGUGCACCCCCCCCCCG